Molecule: ribosomal RNA, 482 nt
Filed under: uncultured bacterium
Lineage: Bacteria
Description: bacterial SSU rRNA
Rfam family: Bacterial small subunit ribosomal RNA
Source: RNAcentral
UUGAACGCUGGCGGAAUGCUUUACACAUGCAAGUCGAGCGGCAGCGCGGGGGCAACCCUGGCGGCGAGCGGCGAACGGGUGAGUAACAUAUUGGAACGUACCCAUUGGUGGGGGAUAACACAUCGAAAGAUGUGCUAAUACCGCAUACGACCUGAGGGUGAAAGCGGGGGAUCGCAAGACCUCGCGCGGACGGAGCGGCCGAUGGCAGAUUAGGUAGUUGGUGGGAUAAAAGCUUACCAAGCCGACGAUCUGUAGCUGGUCUGAGAGGACGACCAGCCACACUGGGACUGAGACACGGCCCAGACUCCUACGGGAGGCAGCAGUGGGGAAUUUUGGACAAUGGGCGCAAGCCUGAUCCAGCCAUGCCGCGUGAGUGAAGAAGGCCUUCGGGUUGUAAAGCUCUUUCAGACGGAAAGAAAUCGGGCGCGUGAAUAGCGUGCCUGGAUGACGGUACUGUCAGAAGAAGCACCGGUUAACUACGU